Molecule: ribosomal RNA, 519 nt
Filed under: uncultured beta proteobacterium
Lineage: Bacteria; Pseudomonadati; Pseudomonadota; Betaproteobacteria
Description: bacterial SSU rRNA
Rfam family: Bacterial small subunit ribosomal RNA
Source: RNAcentral
AGAGUUUGAUCAUGGCUCAGAUUGAACGCUGGCGGCAUGCCUUACACAUGCAAGUCGAACGGUAACGCGGGGCAACCUGGCGACGAGUGGCGAACGGGUGAGUAACGCAUCGGAACGUGCCCAAUAGUGGGGGAUAGCCCGGCGAAAGCCGGAUUAAUACCGCAUACGACCUACGGGUGAAAGCGGGGGAUCGGAAGACCUCGCGCUAUUGGAGCGGCCGAUGUCGGAUUAGCUAGUUGGUGGGGUAAAGGCCUACCAAGGCUACGAUCCGUAGCUGGUCUGAGAGGACGACCAGCCACACUGGGACUGAGACACGGCCCAGACUCCUACGGGAGGCAGCAGUGGGGAAUAUUGGACAAUGGGGGCAACCCUGAUCCAGCGACGCCGCGUGUGUGAAGAAGGCCUGCGGGUUGUAAAGCACUUUUAGUGGGGAUGAAAAGCCUAGGGAUAACACCCUUGGGUCUUGACCUAACCCACAGAAAAAGCACCGGCUAACUCUGUGCCAGCAGCCGCGGUAAU